Molecule: non-coding RNA, 119 nt
Organism: Ricinus communis (castor bean)
Lineage: Eukaryota; Viridiplantae; Streptophyta; Magnoliopsida; Malpighiales; Euphorbiaceae
Source: Rfam
GGGUGCGAUCAUACCAGCACUAAUGCACCGGAUCCCAUCAGAACUCCGAAGUUAAACGUGCUUGGGCGAGAGUAGUACUAAGAUGGGUGACCUCUUGGGAAGUCCUCGUGUUGCACCAU